GACGAACGCUGGCGGCGUGCUUAACACAUGCAAGUCGAACGGAAAGGCCCUGCUUGCAGGGUACUCAAGUGGCGAACGGGUGAGUAACACGUGGGUGAUCUGCCCUGCACUUCGGGAUAAGCCUGGGAAACUGGGUCUAAUACCGGAUAGGAGCCAUUUUUAGUGUGAUGGUUGGAAAGUUUUUUCGGUGUAGGAUGAGCUCGCGGCCUAUCAGCUUGUUGGUGGGGUAAUGGCCUACCAAGGCGGCGACGGGUAGCCGGCCUGAGAGGGUGGACGGCCACAUUGGGACUGAGAUACGGCCCAGACUCCUACGGGAGGCAGCAGUGGGGAAUAUUGCACAAUGGGCGCAAGCCUGAUGCAGCGACGCCGCGUGGGGGAUGACGGCCUUCGGGUUGUAAACUCCUUUCGCUAGGGACGAAGCUUUUUGUGACGGUACCUAGAGAAGAAGCACCGGCUAACUACGUG
RNAcentral lists this ribosomal RNA (465 nucleotides) under uncultured bacterium. RNAcentral describes it as "partial 16S ribosomal RNA". It matches the Rfam family "Bacterial small subunit ribosomal RNA", at positions 28 to 507 of the family's 1533-position model. The record is from RNAcentral.